UACGGGGGAUGCAAGCGUUAUCCGGAAUCAUUGGGCGUAAAGCGCCUGUAGGUGGUUUAAUAAGUCUGUUGUUAAAGACUAGGGCUCAACCCUAGAAAAGCAAUGGAAACUACUAGACUAGAGUAUGGUAGGGGUAGAGGGAAUUUCUAGUGUAGCGGUGAAAUGCGUAGAUAUUAGAAAGAACACCAGUGGCGAAAGCGCUCUACUGGACCAUUACUGACACUCAGAGGCGAAAGCUAGGGUAGCAAAAGGGAUUAGAUACCCCUGUAGUCCUAGCCGUAAACGAUGGAUACUAGAUGUGGUGCUUCCGUACAGUAUCGCAGCUAACGCGUUAAGUAUCCCGCCUGGGGAGUACGCUCGCAAGGGUG
RNAcentral lists this ribosomal RNA (368 nucleotides) under uncultured phototrophic eukaryote. RNAcentral's name for it is "SSU rRNA". It matches the Rfam family "Bacterial small subunit ribosomal RNA", at positions 524 to 896 of the family's 1533-position model. The record is from RNAcentral.